Molecule: ribosomal RNA, 465 nt
Filed under: uncultured bacterium
Lineage: Bacteria
Description: partial 16S ribosomal RNA
Rfam family: Bacterial small subunit ribosomal RNA
Source: RNAcentral
CCUACGGGCGGCAGCAGUGGGGAAUAUUGCGCAAUGGGCGAAAGCCUGACGCAGCGACGCCGCGUGAGGGAUGAAGGUCUUCGGAUCGUAAACCUCUGUCAGCAGGGAAGAACGGUCACUGUGCUAAUCAGCAGUGAAUUGACGGUACCUGCAAAGGAAGCACCGGCUAACCCCGUACCAGAAGCCGCGGUAAUACGGAGGUUGCGAGCGUUAAUCGGAAUGACUGGGCGUAAGGCGCUCGUAGGCGGUAUGUCAAGUCAAGGGUGAAAUCCCCGCGCUCAACGUGGGAACUGCCUUUGAAACUGGCAAACUGGAGUGUGUGAGAGGAUAGUGGAAUUCCAGGUGUAGGAGUGAACUCCGUCGAUAUCUGGAGGAACAUCAGUGGCGAAGGCGACUAUCUGGCACAUAACUGACGCUGAGGAGCGAAAGCGUGGGUAGCAAACAGGAUUAGAUACCCUGGUAGUC